Molecule: non-coding RNA, 22 nt
Filed under: Arabidopsis thaliana (thale cress)
Lineage: Eukaryota; Viridiplantae; Streptophyta; Magnoliopsida; Brassicales; Brassicaceae
Source: RNAcentral
GACACGUGCGACAUCAAGUGGG